Molecule: ribosomal RNA, 404 nt
Filed under: Actinomycetes bacterium
Lineage: Bacteria; Bacillati; Actinomycetota; Actinomycetes
Description: Actinobacteria bacterium partial 16S ribosomal RNA
Rfam family: Bacterial small subunit ribosomal RNA
Source: RNAcentral
UGGGGAAUAUUGGACAAUGGGCGCAAGCCUGAUCCAGCCAUGCCGCGUGAGUGAUGAAGGCCCUAGGGUUUUAAAGCUCUUUCACCGGUGAAGAUAAUGACGGUAACCGGAGAAGAAGCCCCGGCUAACUUCGUGCCAGCAGCCGCGGUAAUACGAAGGGGGCUAGCGUUGUUCGGAUUUACUGGGCGUAAAGCGCACGUAGGCGGACUAUUGAGUCAGGGGUGAAAUCCCGGGGCUCAACCCCGGAACUGCCUUUGAUAGUGGUAGUCUUGAGUUCGAGCGAGGUGAGUGGAAUUCCGAGUGUAGAGGUGAAAUUCGUAGAUUAUCGGAGGAAAACAAGUGGCGAAGGCGGCUCACUGGCUCGAUACUGACGCUGAGGUGCGAAAGCGUGGGGAGCAAACAGG